AAGAAAGGCUUUUUACUCCGGUUCACAGAGCAGAGGAGAACGACUGGUGUUCGACCUCAGAGUCGUUCAUGUGGAUUCAGUUUGGAAAAAUCAUAGAAAAUAUAAGUUAGAAAAAGAAAGACAUUUAAAACCAGCUGAGCCUCCACUUUUCCUCUGAAUAGAAAAACAGACGUCGGACAUGAGGAGGAGAAAUGAGGCUGUUAAAGAUAAAGAGAAGCAAAUCUUCAGUUGUUUAAAGCUCCUCCAGUGUAAAGUAAGAGCAUCUGCCUGCUGCUGCUGCUGGAUAAGAGGACGAUGAUAGUGGAGUUUAAAAGCUGGAAAACCAAAACCAAAGCUCUUGGAAAGACGGUCAAACUCUGAGGAGCUGCAGAUUUGGAAACUCUGGAGAAGCUGAUGAAGGUCCGUCAUGACUCAGUGACUCUGACCAUGAAGCCUGAAGUAAAGAGGACGGUGCGGCAGCGGCAGCAGCGGCAGCGGCAGCGGCAGCGGCAGCGGCAGCGG
Seriola aureovittata is the source of this 501-nucleotide long non-coding RNA. RefSeq lists it as uncharacterized. Lineage: Eukaryota; Metazoa; Chordata; Actinopteri; Carangiformes; Carangidae. The record is from RefSeq and is a predicted model, not a curated record. The transcript has 3 exons.